AAUCGCGGUUAUACGAGAGGCCCUAGUUGAUUUAUUAACGGCGUAAAGGGUGGUUAAGGAGACAAUAAAAUAAAGCCAAAUGAUUCUUUAGCUGUUAUAAGCUCUUAGAACCCCGAGACCCAAUACACGAAAGUAGCUUUAAUUUUAACCUGAACCCACGAAAACAGAGGAA
This 172-nucleotide ribosomal RNA is filed under the name Laubuka laubuca (Indian glass barb). RNAcentral's name for it is "partial 12S rRNA". The record is from RNAcentral. Lineage: Eukaryota; Metazoa; Chordata; Actinopteri; Cypriniformes; Danionidae.